Molecule: ribosomal RNA, 2923 nt
Filed under: Klebsiella pneumoniae
Lineage: Bacteria; Pseudomonadati; Pseudomonadota; Gammaproteobacteria; Enterobacterales; Enterobacteriaceae
Description: 23S ribosomal RNA
Rfam family: Bacterial large subunit ribosomal RNA
Source: RNAcentral
GGGUUGUGAGGUUAAGCGACUAAGCGUACACGGUGGAUGCCCUGGCAGUCAGAGGCGAUGAAGGACGUGCUAAUCUGCGAAAAGCGUCGGUAAGGUGAUAUGAACCGUUAUAGCCGGCGAUGUCCGAAUGGGGAAACCCAGUGCAAUUCGUUGCACUAUCGUUAACUGAAUACAUAGGUUAACGAGGCGAACCGGGGGAACUGAAACAUCUAAGUACCCCGAGGAAAAGAAAUCAACCGAGAUUCCCCCAGUAGCGGCGAGCGAACGGGGAGCAGCCCAGAGUCUGAAUCAGCUUGUGUGUUAGUGGAACGGUCUGGAAAGUCCGACGGUACAGGGUGAUAGUCCCGUACACCAAAAUGCACAGGUUGUGAACUCGAAGAGUAGGGCGGGACACGUGGUAUCCUGUCUGAAUAUGGGGGGACCAUCCUCCAAGGCUAAAUACUCCUGACUGACCGAUAGUGAACCAGUACCGUGAGGGAAAGGCGAAAAGAACCCCGGCGAGGGGAGUGAAAAAGAACCUGAAACCGUGUACGUACAAGCAGUGGGAGCACCUUCGGGUGUGACUGCGUACCUUUUGUAUAAUGGGUCAGCGACUUAUAUUCUGUAGCAAGGUUAACCGUAUAGGGGAGCCGCAGGGAAACCGAGUCUUAACUGGGCGUUAAGUUGCAGGGUAUAGACCCGAAACCCGGUGAUCUAGCCAUGGGCAGGUUGAAGGUUGGGUAACACUAACUGGAGGACCGAACCGACUAAUGUUGAAAAAUUAGCGGAUGACUUGUGGCUGGGGGUGAAAGGCCAAUCAAACCGGGAGAUAGCUGGUUCUCCCCGAAAGCUAUUUAGGUAGCGCCUCGUGAAUUCAUCUUCGGGGGUAGAGCACUGUUUCGGCUAGGGGGUCAUCCCGACUUACCAACCCGAUGCAAACUACGAAUACCGAAGAAUGUUAUCACGGGAGACACACGGCGGGUGCUAACGUCCGUCGUGAAGAGGGAAACAACCCAGACCGCCAGCUAAGGUCCCAAAGUCAUGGUUAAGUGGGAAACGAUGUGGGAAGGCACAGACAGCCAGGAUGUUGGCUUAGAAGCAGCCAUCAUUUAAAGAAAGCGUAAUAGCUCACUGGUCGAGUCGGCCUGCGCGGAAGAUGUAACGGGGCUAAACCAUGCACCGAAGCUGCGGCAGCGACACUAUGUGUUGUUGGGUAGGGGAGCGUUCUGUAAGCCUGCGAAGGUGUGCUGUGAGGCAUGCUGGAGGUAUCAGAAGUGCGAAUGCUGACAUAAGUAACGAUAAAGCGGGUGAAAAGCCCGCUCGCCGGAAGACCAAGGGUUCCUGUCCAACGUUAAUCGGGGCAGGGUGAGUCGACCCCUAAGGCGAGGCCGAAAGGCGUAGUCGAUGGGAAACAGGUUAAUAUUCCUGUACUUGGUGUUACUGCGAAGGGGGGACGGAGAAGGCUAUGUUAGCCGGGCGACGGUUGUCCCGGUUUAAGCAUGUAGGCUGGUUGUCCAGGCAAAUCCGGAUAAUCAAGGCUGAGGUGUGAUGACGAGGCACUACGGUGCUGAAGUAACAAAUGCCCUGCUUCCAGGAAAAGCCUCUAAGCAUCAGGUAACAUCAAAUCGUACCCCAAACCGACACAGGUGGUCAGGUAGAGAAUACCAAGGCGCUUGAGAGAACUCGGGUGAAGGAACUAGGCAAAAUGGUGCCGUAACUUCGGGAGAAGGCACGCUGGUGUGUAGGUGAAGUCCCUGCGGAUGGAGCUGAGACCAGUCGAAGAUACCAGCUGGCUGCAACUGUUUAUUAAAAACACAGCACUGUGCAAACACGAAAGUGGACGUAUACGGUGUGACGCCUGCCCGGUGCCGGAAGGUUAAUUGAUGGGGUUAUCCGUAAGGAGAAGCUCUUGAUCGAAGCCCCGGUAAACGGCGGCCGUAACUAUAACGGUCCUAAGGUAGCGAAAUUCCUUGUCGGGUAAGUUCCGACCUGCACGAAUGGCGUAAUGAUGGCCAGGCUGUCUCCACCCGAGACUCAGUGAAAUUGAACUCGCUGUGAAGAUGCAGUGUACCCGCGGCAAGACGGAAAGACCCCGUGAACCUUUACUAUAGCUUGACACUGAACAUUGAGCCUUGAUGUGUAGGAUAGGUGGGAGGCUUUGAAGCGUGGACGCCAGUCUGCGUGGAGCCAACCUUGAAAUACCACCCUUUAAUGUUUGAUGUUCUAACGUUGGCCCCUGACCGGGGUUGCGGACAGUGUCUGGUGGGUAGUUUGACUGGGGCGGUCUCCUCCCAAAGCGUAACGGAGGAGCACGAAGGUUAGCUAAUCCUGGUCGGACAUCAGGAGGUUAGUGCAAUGGCAUAAGCUAGCUUGACUGCGAGCGUGACGGCGCGAGCAGGUGCGAAAGCAGGUCAUAGUGAUCCGGUGGUUCUGAAUGGAAGGGCCAUCGCUCAACGGAUAAAAGGUACUCCGGGGAUAACAGGCUGAUACCGCCCAAGAGUUCAUAUCGACGGCGGUGUUUGGCACCUCGAUGUCGGCUCAUCACAUCCUGGGGCUGAAGUAGGUCCCAAGGGUAUGGCUGUUCGCCAUUUAAAGUGGUACGCGAGCUGGGUUUAGAACGUCGUGAGACAGUUCGGUCCCUAUCUGCCGUGGGCGCUGGAGAAUUGAGGGGGGCUGCUCCUAGUACGAGAGGACCGGAGUGGACGCAUCACUGGUGUUCGGGUUGUCAUGCCAAUGGCACUGCCCGGUAGCUAAAUGCGGAAGAGAUAAGUGCUGAAAGCAUCUAAGCACGAAACUUGCCCCGAGAUGAGUUCUCCCUGAGACUUUAAGUCUCCUGAAGGAACGUUGAAGACGACGACGUUGAUAGGCCGGGUGUGUAAGCGCAGCGAUGCGUUGAGCUAACCGGUACUAAUGAACCGUGAGGCUUAACCUUACAACGCCGAAG